Long non-coding RNA from Aquila chrysaetos chrysaetos, 7642 nucleotides. RefSeq lists it as uncharacterized. The transcript has 2 exons. The record is from RefSeq and is a predicted model, not a curated record. Lineage: Eukaryota; Metazoa; Chordata; Aves; Accipitriformes; Accipitridae.
UUGGUGUAUCAGCCUAUUCUCAAGUGAAAUAUCUCUCCACUAGCCUAUUAUAUUUUUGUGCACUUGGUGUUUAAAGUUUCAGGGAGUUUAAAGAGUUCUUUUGAGCUUUUAUGCCACAAACUGUUUAGGGGUGCUAUUGCUUUCUUUGUGCUGCUUCUGUAGUUAUAUUGUUUAGAUACUAUGAGGAUAGUGGUGAGGAAAUGUUAAGUUCUAUGUUAUUUUGGGGGAUUUUUUUACUUUGCUUGAAAACAUCUAGAUCCCAGUCCUAUUAUUAGGCUGAACUGGAAUACCACUAUACCAAUGCUAAAACUAGAACUAAAACUAUACAGCAUUCACUGUAAUGAAGAUUUAUCAGAAACCCUGGAGUUUAGGAAAAAGUGUUUUUAUUUUAAGAGUAAGACAGAGCACACUUCUGGAAACAGCAGUGCUUACUAAACUGCAUGUCUAGAUACUACUCUAUUGUAGAAACUUUAUAGGAAGUAUUCUUAAACUGUGUAGUUACUAUGUUUUUAUAUACUGCCUACCUAGUUUUCCACACUAUAAUGAACAUGUAAGAAAGACACAUGAAUGAAUUGGUACCCUACAUCAUUUUUAUCCCUAACCAUCUUUUUUUGUCAGGCUACUAGAUGAAGUGCUAGUAAAGCUAGAUAUUUUUAUUCAAAUACGAUUCAGGAAUUUUUCUUGGAUUUUUUUUUUUUUUCCUGUGUAUGUGUCUCUUUUCUGCCACCCUGUGGGCCAAUUUGUUUUAUUUCUAGGAUGGAUUCUUCCUCUGUUUCCUGGAAAAGAAUAGUUAUGUUUUUUUCUUACAUGGACUUUUCUGCAGUUGUUUUCUACUAAUUUCUGUUUUCAGAGCUGAAGUUUAACAAAACUCCUCCUAGUGUUUUAAGUCUUGCAUUAACUGUCUUGAGAAGCUGAUCAGUUCAAUUUCUGUUAAUGGCCUCAUAUCUAUCCUUUUUUCUUCUGAAUUUUUGAAAGCAGUUCAAAAAGAGGAAAAGAUACAAUUUGUAAUUACUGUUCUUACAAUAUACAUUUUAAGACAGCAGAAUGUAUGUAGUUCAAUUAAUUUGUAAUAAUAAUGUUACUUUAACUUCUUCUCAUAAAGCAAACCAAGCAGAAAUCUUUGAAUAAGAUAUACAAGUUUUAACAGAAGAAUAUGUAGACAUAAUAGAGGAAUGAAUUUUGACUUCUGACUGGAAAUAUUCUGUAGUCAAAAAAUUCUUGGCUAAGAAAAAAAACUUAGUUUGCUUAUACCUCUUGCCUCCCUUUCAUCUCCUGUAGAAUUAAACAUUUUAGUAUGUGUUCCUCUUGAUUCCCAUGAACACUGAGGGUUCCAGCAGGAAUUAAUUUAGUCAGUUUAAAAUAUGUACAUAACUUUAGAAGGUGAAAAAGCAUGGGUGUUUAUUUUCAGCUGUCUGUUCUGGAAUCAAGUUACUGUCCUGCAAAAGUAUUGACGUUUUAUUUCAGUAUAUGUUCCAGUGGGGCUCCCGACUCUAUUACAUUUGUAUUUGAUGCAAGUUAACCUGCUCUCUAUCUACUGACAUAAACUAAUCUACAAUAUAUUUAAUAAUCAUCUAGUUGUUAAUUUUAGAUCCUCAUAAUUUUUUUUCUCUGGAUACAUCAAAGUUUAAUUAACUUUCUCUGUUUAUAGAGUUCAGAAGUUUAAGAAUUCUUCACAUACAUGGUGUUUAAAAUAGCUUUGAAUUUGAUGUCUAGAUGUGUAUACCAUUGAAGGGACAGUUCACUGUAAUCUAACUGUGAGGUUUCUGGACUGUGUUGCAGAUGAAGUGGCUGAAAAAAUGUAUAGAAGUAAAUGAUGGAUAUUCUAACACAAAAGUGGCAAUCAAAAGACCUUCAGUCAACAUUCCUUGACUGUGGUAAGACACAUGAUUGCCAGAAGGAGUCAUUUUAAAGAUGGAAUUGAGGAAGUUUGCUGUGUUUUUUGUUCAUGCCACGUUUGCCUGCAUCUGAAAUAAUGUGAAAAUAUCAAUGGCUGGAAUUUCAAUGGAUUCUAGCAACAUGUUUUUUCUUCAGCUUACUUAGUAGCAAAUGGUGUCAAAUUAAGAAGAGUGGUUUAAAAGUGGCCAAGUGUUUGAAUUUUCAGGAGAUUUUCUGACAAAAUGGUCUGUUCGUUUGUUGUCCUGUACUUGGACAAUUUCCUUUAUGGAUAGUUGACUGCCUGUGACAGUGGUUUGAAAAGGGAAGAUUUUGUUGGAAAAUCAAGUUUUGUACAGGGGAGUCAAUGAGUUUGUGGAAGCAGACACGAGGGAAGGUGAGGCCAAUUGGCCAGACUUUGAAUACAGCAUGGAGAAUUGAGAAAGCAUGUUUUGAUAAGUACGUGCUAUAGAUGAAAGUGGGAAAGGAUCAAGACAUUCAGUAAAAGAGUAGGGAAGGAGAAGUUUGAGAACUGUUGUAGCAUAGACAGAUUCCUACAAAAUAUGGUAAUUCUUUGGUUUUGACAAACAAUGUAGGAAAACAUAAAUAAGGUUUCCUGAAAGCUCUAGGUGCAACAAUUUCUGUAGUUCAACCAGUUAGAAAAGUGAGGACAGAACUUUUCUCUUCCCCGUUUUCCUUCCUCCCUGCUUCCUUUCUCCCCUUUCCUGCUUUUUUUCCCUUUCUUAUACUUAGCUGGAUGAGAAAUUGUGAUAAAAGAUGACAGUAAAAGAAGAGACUUUUAAAUGUUCACACCUUGGGUAAGUGUCCUUAAAACUUUGUAAAGGAAGUAUUCUACAUGGAUUUCAUAGUUUAACAAGACUUCAGGUUUCUCUUUGAAGUUUGAAUUCAAAUAUAAAUUGUAAUAUUUUCCGUUUUUGUGAGAUACCCAACACUUCUACCCUAAAAAUUGAACAGUGCCAAAUAAAGUUUAAAUUUGCAACCACAACUCUUUCUGCGAUUUUUAGAUCAAAUUUUUUUUAUACAUAGAGAUUCUUUACAACUAUCAAAGUUCUAGAUGUGAUAAUGAAAAAAUUAUAUUCUCAUUUUAUAUGGCAUAUGAAUCUUUAAUAUAGGGAAUUGUUUAUGAAAAAUGAAAUCCUUAUAGUUUUUAUGCCUGAUGUGUCUUUUUUCACUCUUGUGUAGAUACUUACUGUUUUAUAAUAAAAUCCUGUUUUCCAGAAAGGGGGAAAAAAAAUGAAGUUUAAAUGUGAAAAAUAUUUUAGCUUGUCCAAGGCUUAUGUUGACUGAAAUAGGCCUAGGUCUUCAUGGUUGACAGCUGCAGAUAAUUAGCUUUUUCUUCCUCAACAAAGAAAGCAAAUGGAGCUGCAAGACAUUCUUUGCCUUUUCUGUCAUCAUAAUAAUAAUUUAUGUAUUUAACUUCUGCAGUUUCUUAAAUUGUUUUAGAGCUAAACUGCCUACAUUACAUGUAAUGGGAGUGACAAGUAAAAGCUGCAAAGCAUGUUUGUUUUGGAAGAGAAGGAAUGAUUGACAGCCACAUUCCUCUCUACAAGAAAAAGCUGUGUUGCAGAGUCUAAAAAAUGACCUAAAUGUAUAAUCCCUAACGCUUCAGACUUCAGAAGUUAAUUUUGAAAAGUGAUCACCGCUUUCGGUGCUUUUAGUAUGGAAACAACAAUGGUUAAAGUAUUACUUUGAAAAUAAGUUCUUUUCAGAAGUUUGUCAUCACUACAAGUAAUGGAAGUUAUGGAGAAAAUAAUAUGUGUUUUAUACUAUAAAAUAACUUUUUUACCCCAUUUGAAAGAAACCAAAUAACAAUGUCAAAGCUAAUCUGAACAUGUACGCUGGAAGACACAGGGACAUAAACUGUCCAUUAAUUAAAAACAUACCAUUUUGAUAUGAAAUAAGUUAGGACUUGUGGUUUUAUUUUGUGAGAGAUGGUUAUGAUUUACAUUAAUGUAAUUUUGUAAAUUGUAAGCUUAGCUCUGGUAUUUGUCAUGUCUAGCUGAAGACAAAAGAAUAUCCAGAAAUAAGGGUGUUAGUCUAGAAAUUUGCAGUCCGUUCCCUGUGUUGCUGAUUAUGUGUUUUCCAGAACAAAUAGUUUAGGCCUACAUACCCAAAUGUAUUGAGGGAUCUAAUUCCUCUUAGCUAAUCCUUAGAGUUUUUAAGUAUUAGUUUAUUUUUUUUCUUUUAAAAAGUGUGGUUUUUUUAAGUUUGUCAAUACACUUGACAUAAUUUCAUAUUGUGAUUUAGCAUCUCACAUAUGUUGCUGAAUUUAGAAGGAAAUGGCCAAGAUUUAAGAGAUAAGAGUCUUGUCUCACCAUCUUUUUGUUCUUUCAGUACUUAUUCUAUGGGCUUUUUCCCAAUCAGAUUGAAGAGCUUCCAUGUGAGCAAAAUAAUAUAUUGGUACAAAAUUGACGGUAUCCCAAUCAACAGAGAAGAAAUGAGGCUAAAUUGUGGGCUAAAAUUCUUUAGCAUAUAUCAGUCUCCAAAAAACAUUUUGGUAAUCGAGUAUCUUUUUUUUUUUUUCUUAAUGUUACACAUUUAUUUCACAAAAAUUGAUCCUUAUCAUCAUUUGUCAAUGCAAGAAUGUAAAUUUUAAAAGUAAUUCAAAAGCAGAUUGAUUGUAUUGUGGCUUUUAGUCACUAUCAACCACGAUGUAUAAACCAGUCCUUGCAGUUUUGUAUCACCUGCAAGCUUGCUGAGGUGGGCUUUGUUCCACCAUCUGGGUCAUUAGUGAAGAUGUUAAACAGUACUGUACCCAGUAUCAAUCCUUGCAGGUACUCAGCUAAUGACUGGCCUCCAGGUGGACUUUGUGCUACUGAUGACAGCCCUCUCUUGUUGUUAAAGUCCAUUCAGAGCUCUUCUUUUGAAAUAUGUGUACCACUAAACACAUCUUUAAGAACUUUGCAGACUUGAAGACACACACUUUCUAGUCGUAAGAGGUCAUUAGUGGUACAGGAUUCUCUCUUGGGCCUUACUGUUGCACCUGUGUGCUUAUACAAAAUGCCUGUCACUCACAGGAGAUACUUGAAGGUGUGUAUACCCUGGUUCAGUGACUGGUUCAUAAGGAUUGCAUGACAGGUAUCUCUAUCAAAUUCAUACAACAUGUUAGGCUGAUUCUGCUAACAAAAUCCUUUUAUCCUCCAGUGAUGUAAAACAGUAUCCUGCACAACCAUUAGGGAUUGUAGCAUGAGAAGCUUCAAGCAGAUUUAGGACUACUUAGUAAAGAAACAUGACAGUUAAUGAUAUCCAUGAAAAUCUUGAACCUUACCUGUACUUUGUAACAAAAGUUUCUGAGCUACAACUCAAAAAUUAGUCUCCUCUUAUCAUAAACUUCUGCAGUAAUAUUUGUCUCUCUUAAAUGCCACAGAUUUGUUUAUUCAUACCAGUUCUUAAUUUCCUUAAAAAUCAUGAGUGGAAUUACUUAAAUCUUUCUCAAAGAUCUCAAUUCUUUCCUUAUUUUGAAGCUCUUGCUACAUCAUGUUGCAGUGAAUUGCAAAUUGAGAUGGGAUCUAACCUUUGAGAAGAGGCCAGUCUCAAUGAAUUGCUGGUAGUGACUGAACAUUCUAGAAACUUGAUGAUAGAAUCAGCUCUUAAGCUAUUAUAUUUUAUUGUGCUUGUGUUCUUCCUGCACAAACUGGAAGAAUCUGAGUAAAGUUCAAUUUUUGUUCUCUAGUACAUGAGAUACAGUGCAGAGGAUACAGUUGCUCCUUGCCAGUUUCAGAGUCUGUGUUUGUUGUUAGUUAUUUCCCUUCUUCCAUUCUCUCAGUCUGCUUUCUGGCUCUAAUGCAGUAAAGCUUCAAAUAACGUACUGCUUAUCAUAAACUAAGACACAAAAGAAGUUCUUAAUCAUUUGAUUGUCAUAAAGAUACAUUGAUCUUGAUACAAAAGUUAGACAAUAACUCUCAAAAAUUGAAAUGAUAAAAUGGUAAUAUAUUGUGACUGAUGUAAUAUAUUAAACUGCUGAAUGUAUUUUUAUCAGACAUUUAUUGCAGAGCGUGAUAACAGUAACCAUUUAAUUUAUGAUAGUUUGCUACAGGAAGUACACCCCUAUUUGCUUGAGGUCAGAUUCUACUCUUGCAUUUUGUAUACUACUUGUGUACUUCCUGUUAAUAUCAUCCACUUCCUCACUGAUUUCUCUCUUUUUUUUUUUUUUUCUCCUUGCCUAGGUAUACCUAGAAACUUGUUAGCAUUUGUUGGAAACUUGCUAAAACAGAAAACAACAAAAUCUGAAUGCUUUUUAAACUGCAAUUUAUCAGCAUACAGUAAUCCAAUAAAAGGCAAGGAACAUUUGUGUUAAAAAAAAAAAAUUGUCUUUUAAGUGCAAUUUGUUUCAGUAUCUGGAGUCCAUAGGAAGUUCUUUUCAGAAGACAGGCUGAAAUGCUACCAAAGAUUAAUACGCCCUCUAAAAAUUAUCAUACUGUUUUAUCCCACCCCUCCUUGUUGUCCCUGGGAGCCACCAUUUUUUCAUCGCUGUCUCCCCGUGUGUGCACAGAGCACCCUGGGACCAUCUAGAGCAGCCGCCGCCAAUGAUUUGCUCCAAGCAGGGUGGAACUGGACGUCCCCUCCUGCUACAGAGUUGGGGCCACCACUUUGCUUUGGCCAUCAUCUCAUGGCAGCAAGCCAUCAUGUCUGGCCACCACGUAACCCACAUGCUUACAUACUGCCCUGCAACUGGCUGCCAGUGCUGACAGCAUCAAAGGCAUGUGACCUCAGCACACACUCCAGUUGGCUGCUUAUUUCCUUUGGACCAGAUAUAAAUACCUGUCCAUUUAUAUGUAUGUAUAGUUGUAGUAAAUCUAGAUAUAAAAUGCUUUACAGAGACAUAAAAACACGUAUUUUACUUAUACUUUGUGCUUUAUAUAUAGCUUUAUAGAAGUAUUAUAUACAAUAUAGAUAUGUAUGCUUUAUAUACUGUAAACAUAUAUAAAUUAAAUAUAUGUUUACAUAAAAGUGUAUCCAUAAAAUGUGUAAAAACAUUUGUUAGAACUAAUGAAAUGUAUUAAUUAAAGUUUAAGGGUGAAUGGGAAGUAAUGAAAUAACAGCAUAAAGUAGGUCGGGGGCCCCCACUUCACAAGUCCAAUGAACAAAUCCUGACAUGUUUGGGGUGGAGGGAGGUAUAAGAGGACAAGGACAGGGUAUGAGGAGGGCAGUGUGGGGAGAGGGGCACAAUCAAGUGAGAACAUGCCCAGGGGCUACCAGCCUGUCCUCAGAGAUGGCCCACCAAGGGGCCCCUGUGCAUCCCCUGCCAUGUGAAAAGAGGAGCCCAAUCCGGGAGCCCCACAACUGGCACCAAACUGCCUGCCAGGAUGGCCAUGCACUGUUUAUUACUGGGGCAGCUUUGAGGCUUUGUGCUGUGUUGCAAGACACAGCAUUGCUGUCUGCAAAAGUGGAAAUCCAGAGCAAAAGGCCAGCUGCAGAAGAACAUGGGUGUGGAGGCAAUAAGGACAAGCCCCAGCAGGACUCCUGAGAAAAGACCACAUGAAACAGGAGCCGUCUGACAGGCCUGUGAAUCAGUAAGCAACUUCCAGGUCGAUGUCCUUAUAGAACAUUUUAAAAAGCUCCAGCUGACUAGCUGAGGAGGCAGAAGACAGAAGUGUUGCUAUCUGGGCCUGCAGCGGUUAAAGAAUGAGGAGAGAAAGGACAGUGGCUUUCAUGGAAGAGCGGAAAAAAACACAACAAAACCUUGGAAAAGCCUGACCUAUGACUGACACCCAUCAUAACCACUUAAUAAAGUAUCUCUGUGCAUGAA